CAAAUGUUGACUGACCGGCUCAGAAAUGAGCCUUUCCUUCGGGACAGUCAGCAAGGUGCUGCAUGGUUGUCGUCAGCUCGUGCCGUGAGGUGUCAGGUUAAGUCCUAUAACGAGCGCAACCCCUACGUCCAGUUGCCAGCGGGUAAAGCCGGGGACUCUGGAGGGACUGCCGGCGCAAGCCGAGAGGAAGGUGGGGAUGACGUCAAAUCAGCACGGCCCUUACGUCCAGGGCGACACACGUGCUACAAUGGCCGGUACAGAGGGCAGCCACCUGGUGACAGGGAGCGAAUCUCGAAAGCCGGUCUCAGUUCGGAUCGGAGUCUGCAACUCGACUCCGUGAAGUUGGAUUCGCUAGUAAUCGCGCAUCAGCCAUGGCGCGGUGAAUACGUUCCCGGGCCUUGUACACACCGCCCGUCAAGCCAUGAAAGUCUGGGGUACCUGAAGUCCGUGACCGCAAGGAGCGGCCUAGGGUAAAACAGGUGAUUGGGGCUAAGUCGUAACAAGGUA
This 507-nucleotide ribosomal RNA is filed under the name uncultured bacterium. Its description in RNAcentral is "bacterial SSU rRNA". It matches the Rfam family "Bacterial small subunit ribosomal RNA", at positions 982 to 1498 of the family's 1533-position model. The record is from RNAcentral.